GGAGAUGUAGCUUAAUUGGUAGAGUACUGGUCUAACAUCUAGAGGCCUAGAGUUCAAUCCCUAGCAUGUUCU
Molecule: transfer RNA, 72 nt
Filed under: Mus musculus (house mouse)
Lineage: Eukaryota; Metazoa; Chordata; Mammalia; Rodentia; Muridae
Rfam family: tRNA
About the family: Transfer RNA (tRNA) molecules are approximately 80 nucleotides in length. Their secondary structure includes four short double-helical elements and three loops (D, anti-codon, and T loops).
Source: Rfam by way of RNAcentral